AGGUAGGCAGUGGUUGCCGACCUCGCAUUGUUCGAAAUAUAUAUUUCGUAUUAUUAUUAUAUUUGUUACUUAUAAUAAAGUAUAUUAUUAUCCGUACUAAUUUGUUUCUUAGUUCUUUUUGAACACGGGACUUGGCUCCGCGGAUAAUAGGAAUAUACGCUAUUUUAGAUAAUAUCGUUGAAACAAAAGUCAAGUUUCUAUUAUACAUAGAAUAACAAAUCGUUUCCAUAUAUUAUCGUUAAUUUUUGGAGGCAGGUAAUUUAUUACCUGCCUGUAAAGUUGGAUUAUUAUAUCGUUACGGUAUAAUACAAAAUGGAUUCAUAUUAUCGGUUUUAUGUUAUAUAUUACCAGAGAGUUAUAUGAAAAGAGAUACAUUUUAAAUUUAUCAUCAAGAUGCAAAUGACUUAACUUAUAUUUGUUGAAACAAAAAUUGUACAAGUGUGGAUACAAUAAUUUAUGUAUGUUGGAAAUAAAAUGAUAUUUUAAAAUGAAAUAUAUGUAUAUAUAAAGACAAAAUUAUAGAAAUAUAUAUUACAAUAAUUGUAUGAACUUCUUGUUAUAUUGGUAAAACAAGUAGAAUUUAAAAAUGGAAAUACGAAUUACUAGUGUUAUAUAAAAAUGGCCGUAUUCGAAUGGAUUUAUUUUUAUAAAUAUAUUUAAAAUUUUUACCCAAAGGCAAAAUAUUGAAUUAUAUUCAAUAAUAUACAAAAAAUGGAAUUAUAUAUAAAGUGGAAAUCUAUAAUAUUUAUAUUGCUUAUUUCAAUUCAAAAAAUAUGAAUGAAAUAUGAAAAGAAAACAUUAUUCUGGUUGAUCCUGCCAGUAGUUAUAUGCUUGUCUCAAAGAUUAAGCCAUGCAUGUCUAAGUACACACGAAUUAAAAGUGAAACCGCAAAAAGCUCAUUAUAUCAGUUAUGGUUCUUUAGAUCGUUAACAGUUACUUGGAUAACUGUGGUAAUUCUAGAGCUAAUACAUGCAAUUAAAACAUGAACCUUAUGGGACAUGUGCUUUUAUUAGGCUAAAACCAAGCGAUCGCAAGAUCGUUAUAUUGGUUGAACUCUAGAUAACAUGCAGAUCGUAUGGUCUUGUACCGACGACAGAUCUUUCAAAUGUCUGCCCUAUCAACUUUUAAUGGUAGUAUCUAGGACUACCCUGGUUGCAACGGGUAACGGGGAAUCAGGGUUCGAUUCCGGAGAGGGAGCCUGAGAAACGGAUACCACAUCUAAGGAAGGCAGCAGGCGCGUAAAUUACCCACUCCCAGCUCGGGGAGGUAGUGACGAAAAAUAACAAUACAGGACUCAUAUCCGAGGCCCUGUAAUUGGAAUGAGUACACUUUAAAUCCUUUAACAAGGACCAAUUGGAGGGCAAGUCUGGUGCCAGCAGCCGCGGUAAUUCCAGCUCCAAUAGCGUAUAUUAAAGUUGUUGCGGUUAAAACGUUCGUAGUUGAACUUGUGCUUCAUACGGGUAGUACAACUUACAAUUGUGGUUAGUACUGUACCUUUAUGUAUGUAAGCGUAUUACCGGUGGAGUUCUUAUAUGUGAUUAAAUACUUGUAUUUUUUCAUAUGUUCCUCCUAUUUAAAAACCUGCAUUAGUGCUCUUAAACGAGUGUUAUUGUGGGCCGGUACUAUUACUUUGAACAAAUUAGAGUGCUUAAAGCAGGCUUCAAAUGCCUGAAUAUUCUGUGCAUGGGAUAAUGAAAUAAGACCUCUGUUCUGCUUUCAUUGGUUUUCAGAUCAAGAGGUAAUUAUUAAUAGAAGCAGUUUGAGGGCUUAAGACUAACUUAAGCGAAAGCAUUUGCCAAAGAUGUUUUCAUUAAUCAAGAACGAAAGUUAGAGGUUCGACGGCGAUCAGAUACCGCCCUUGUUCUAACCAGAAACGAUGCCAGCUAGCAAUUGGGUGUAGCUACUUUUAUGGCUCUCUCAGUCGCUUCCCGGGAAACCAAAGCUUUUGGGCUCCGGGGGAAGUAUGGUUGCAAAGCUGAAACUUAAAGGAAUUGACGGAAGGGCACCACCAGGAGUGGAGCCUGCGGCUUAAUUUGACUCAACACGGGAAAACUUACCAGGUCCGUGUGUAAGACAGAUUGAUAGCUCUUUCUCGAAUCUAUGGGUGGUGGCGCAUGGCCGUUCUUAGUUCGUGGAGUGAUUUGUCUGGUUAAUUCCGAUAACGAACGAGACUCAAAUAUAUUAAAUAGAUAUCUUCAGGAUUAUGGUGCUGAAGCUUAUGUAGCCUUCAUUCAUGUUGGCAGUAAAAUUCUUAUUGUGUUUGAAUGUGUUUAUGUAAGUGGAGCCGUACCUGUUGGUUUGUCCCAUUAUAAGGACACUAGCUUCUUAAACAGACAAAUUGCGUCUAACAACAAUGAGAUUUAGCAAUAACAGGUCUGUGAUGCCCUUAGAUGUCCUGGGCUGCACGCGCGCUACAAUGAAAGUAUCAACGUGUAUUUACUAGUCCGAGAGGUCCGGGUAAACCGCUGAACCACUUUCAUGCUUGGGAUUGUGAACAUGAACUUGGAAUUCCCAGUAAGUGUGAGUCAUUAACUCGCAUUGAUUACGUCCCUGCCCUUUGUACACACCGCCCGUCGCUACUACCGAUUGAAUUAUUUAGUGAGGUCUCCGGACGUGAUCACUGUGACGCCUUGCGUGUUACGGUUGUUUCGCAAAAGUUGACCGAACUUGAUUAUUUAGAGGAAGUAAAAGUCGUAACAAGGUUUCCGUAGGUGAACCUGCGGAAGGAUCAUUAUUGUAUAAUAUCCUUACCGUUAAUAAACAUUUGUAAUAAUACAAAUAAAAACAAUUUACCAAAAUAAAAAUAUAACAAAAUGAUUCCACGGAAUCAAAAGUUAAAAUCAAAAUAAAACGAAGAUGGGUUUUAUUUAUAUUGUGUGAGGCUUGGCAACCUCACCAAAAGAUUUUAACAUUCCUAAUGGAUGUUGUGCGUAUUUGUGGCGAGUACUUACAACAACGGCGUUUCCUAUAGAAAUAAUGUUUCGAACAUGAAAAUCGAAGAAACAAAAUUCGAAAGUGGAAGUCGAAUCAAAAUAAAAUAAUUUCGCAUGUGGUAAUCAUCGAAAUAAGUGUUAAUAUAAUUGGUAGAUAUUAACUAAUUUUUAAAAUUUGUGUGUAUUUAUUACUAUACACGCGUUGCGAAUAUGUAUUGUUCAUCUUAGUUAUGGGCAUACGUUGGCUAAUGCAACAACCUGAAAUAAACAAUGUUGUACCUGGCAUCCAUCAGGUAAAUGUUUUAUAUAAAUUGCAGUAUGUGUCACCCAAAAUAGCAAACCCCAUAACCAACCAGAUUAUUAUGAUACAUAAUGCUUAUAUGAAACUAAGACAUUUCGCAACAUUUAUUUUAGGUAUAAAAAUACAUUUAUUGAAGGAAUUGAUAUAUGCCAGUAAAAUGGUGUAUUUUUAAUUUCUUUCAACAAAAACAUAAUUGACAUUAUAUAAAAAUGAAUUAUAAAACUCUAGGCGGUGGAUCACUCGGCUCAUGGGUCGAUGAAGAACGCAGCAAACUGUGCGUCAUCGUGUGAACUGCAGGACACAUGAACAUCGACAUUUUGAACGCAUAUCGCAGUCCAUGCUGUUAUGUACUUUAAUUAAUUUUAUAAAACUAAAAAAUUAAAAAUGGAUAAAUAAAAACUUUGCAUACAAGAAUUAAUAAAAAUGUUAUAACGAAUUUAAUUAAAUGUUUUAUCAUUAUAUAUAAAGAAUUUAUGGCAAGAUAAAGUUAUAUACAACCUCAACUCAUAUGGGACUACCCCCUGAAUUUAAGCAUAUUAAUUAGAGGAGGAAAAGAAAAUAAAAAGGCUUUUUUUAAAAGCGGCGAGCGAAAAGAAAACAGUUCAGCACUAAGUCACUUUGUCUAUGUGGCAAAUGUGAGAUGCAGUGUAUGGAGCGUCAAUAUUCUAGUAUGAGAAAUUAACGAUUUAAGUCCUUCUUAAAUGAGGCCAUUUACCCAUAGAGGGUGCCAGGCCCAUAUAACGUUAAUGAUUACUAGAUGAUGUUUCCAAAGAGUCGUGUUGCUUGAUAGUGCAGCACUAAGUGGGUGGUAAACUCCAUCUAAAACUAAAUAUAACCAUGAGACCGAUAGUAAACAAGUACCGUGAGGGAAAGUUGAAAAGAACUCUGAAUAGAGAGUUAAACAGUACGUGAAACUGCUUAGAGGUUAAGCCCGAUGAACCUGAAUAUCCGUUAUGGACAAUUCAUCAUUAAAAUUGUAAUAUUUAAAUAACAUUAUGAGAAUAGUGUGCAUUUUUUCCAUAUAAGGACAUUGUAAUCUAUUAGCGUAUACCAAAUUUAUCAUAAAAUAUAACUUAUAGUUUAUUCCAAUUAAAUUGCUUGCAUUUUAACACAGAAUAAAUGUUAUUCAUUUGAUAAAGUGCUGAUAGAUUUAUAUGAUUACAGUACGUUAAUUUUUCGGAAUUAUAUAAUGGCAUAAUUAUCAUUGAUUUUUGUGUUUAUUUUAUGCACUUGUAUGAUUAACAAUGCGAAAGAUUCAGGAUACCUUCGGGACCCGUCUUGAAACACGGAGCAAGGAGUCUAACAUAUGUGCAAGUUAUUGGGAUAUGAACCUAAUAGCGUAAUUAACUUGACUAAUAAUGGGAUUAGUUUUUUACCGAUUUAUAGCUAAUUAACACAAUCCCGGGGCGUUCUAUAUAGUUAUGUAUAAUGUAUAUUUAUAUUAUUUACGCCUCUAACUGGAACGUACCUUGAGCAUAUAUGCUGUGACCCGAAAGAUGGUGAACUAUACUUGAUCAGGUUGAAGUCAGGGGAAACCCUGAUGGAAGACCGAAAUAGUUCUGACGUGCAAAUCGAUUGUCAGAAUUGAGUAUAGGGGCGAAAGACCAAUCGAACCAUCUAGGAGCUGGUUCCUUCCGAAGUUUCCCUCAGGAUAGCUGGUGUAUUUUAAUAUUAUAUAAAAUAAUCUUAUCUGGUAAAGCGAAUGAUUAGAGGCCUUAGGGUCGAAACGAUCUUAACCUAUUCUCAAACUUUAAAUGGGUAAGAACCUUAACUUUCUUGAUAUGAAGUUCAAGGUUAUGAUAUAAUGUGCCCAGUGGGCCACUUUUGGUAAGCAGAACUGGCGCUGUGGGAUGAACCAAACGUAAUGUUACGGUGCCCAAAUUAACAAUUCAUGCAGAUACCAUGAAAGGCGUUGGUUGCUUAAGACAGCAGGACGGUGAUCAUGGGAACAACUCACCUGCCGAAGCAACUAGCCAUUAAAAUGGAUGGCGCUUAAGUUGUAUACCUAUACAUUACCGCUAAAGUAGAUGAUUUAUAUUACUUGUAAUAUAAAUUUUGAAACUUUAGUGAGUAGGAAGGUACAAUGGUAUGCGUAGAAGUGUUUGGCGUAAGCCUACAUGGAGCUGCCAUUGGUACAGAUCUUGGUGGUAGUAGCAAAUAAUCGAAUGAGACCUUGGAGGACUGAAGUGGAGAAGGGAUUCGUGUGAACAGUGGUUGAUCACGAGUUAGUCGGUCCUAAGUUCAAGGCGAAAGCCGAAAAUUUUCAAGUAAAACAAAAAUGCCUAACUAUAUAAACAAAGCGAAUUAUAAUACACUUGAAUAAUUUUGAACGAAAGGGAAUACAGUUCCAAUUCCGUAACCUGUUGAGUAUCCGUUUGUUAUUAAAUAUGGGCCUCGUGCUCAUCCUGGCAACAGGAACGACCAUAAAGAAGCCGUCGAGAGAUAUCGGAAGAGUUUUCUUUUCUGUUUUAUAGCCGUACUACCAUGGAAG
Ribosomal RNA from Drosophila melanogaster (fruit fly), 5725 nucleotides. Lineage: Eukaryota; Metazoa; Arthropoda; Insecta; Diptera; Drosophilidae. The record is from Ensembl.